Molecule: small nuclear RNA, 101 nt
Filed under: Salvator merianae (Argentine black and white tegu)
Lineage: Eukaryota; Metazoa; Chordata; Lepidosauria; Squamata; Teiidae
Source: RNAcentral
GUUUUGGCAGAACAUAUACUAAAAUUGGAACAAUACAANGAAGAUUAGCAUGNCCCCUGCNCAAGGAUGACAUGCAAAUUCAUGAACCAUUCCAUAAAAUA